RNAcentral lists this ribosomal RNA (811 nucleotides) under uncultured bacterium. RNAcentral describes it as "bacterial SSU rRNA". It matches the Rfam family "Bacterial small subunit ribosomal RNA", at positions 8 to 796 of the family's 1533-position model. The record is from RNAcentral.
AGAGUUUGAUCAUGGCUCAGAACGAACGCUGGCGGCGUGGAUAAGACAUGCAAGUCGGACGGGAUUACUUUUGGUAGCAAUACUAAGAGUGAUUCAGUGGCGAACGGGUGCGUAACACGUGGGCAAUCUGCCUUAAAGUGGGGGGAUAGCUCGCCGAAAGGCGAAUUAAUACCGCAUGUGAUCAGGGGAGACAUCUUCCCGAAAUCAAAGGUGGCGCAAGCUACCGCUUUUUGAGGAGCCCGCGGCCUAUCAGCUUGUUGGUGAGGUAACGGCUCACCAAGGCGUUGACGGGUAGCUGGUCUGAGAGGACGACCAGUCACACUGGGACUGAGACACGGCCCAGACACCUACGGGUGGCAGCAGUCGAGAAUUUUUCUCAAUGGGGGAAACCCUGAAGGAGCGACGCCGCGUGGAGGAUGAAGGUCUUCGGGUUGUAAACUCCUGUCAUUUGGGAACAAGGUGCGCGCGUUAACUGCGCGCGCAUUGAUAGUACCAGAAGAGGAAGAGACGGCUAACUCUGUGCCAGCAGCCGCGGUAAUACAGAGGUCUCAAGCGUUGUUCGGAUUCAUUGGGCGUAAAGGGUGCGUAGGUGGCGCGGUAAGUCGGGUGUGAAAUUUCGGAGCUUAACUCCGAAACUGCAUUCGAUACUGCCGUGCUUGAGGACUGGAGAGGAGACUGGAAUUUACGGUGUAGCAGUGAAAUGCGUAGAUAUCGUAAGGAAGACCAGUGGCGAAGGCGGGUCUCUGGACAGUUCCUGACACUGAGGCACGAAGGCCAGGGGAGCAAACGGGAUUAGAUACCCUAGUAGUCC